Molecule: ribosomal RNA, 484 nt
Filed under: uncultured bacterium
Lineage: Bacteria
Description: partial 16S ribosomal RNA
Rfam family: Bacterial small subunit ribosomal RNA
Source: RNAcentral
AUUGAACGCUGGCGGCAGGCCUAACACAUGCAAGUCGAGCGGAUGAAGGGAGCUUGCUCCUGGAUUCAGCGGCGGGCGGGUGAGUAAUGCCUAGGAAUCUGCCUGGUAGUGGGGGAUAACGUCCGGAAACGGGCGCUAAUACCGCAUACGUCCUGAGGGAGAAAGUGGGGGAUCUUCGGACCUCACGCUAUCAGAUGAGCCUAGGUCGGAUUAGCUAGUUGGUGGGGUAAAGGCCUACCAAGGCGACGAUCCGUAACUGGUCUGAGAGGAUGAUCAGUCACACUGGAACUGAGACACGGUCCAGACUCCUACGGGAGGCAGCAGUGGGGAAUAUUGGACAAUGGGCGAAAGCCUGAUCCAGCCAUGCCGCGUGUGUGAAGAAGGUCUUCGGAUUGGAAAGCACUUUAAGUUGGGAGGAAGGGCAGUAAGUUAAUACCUUGCUGUUUUGACGUUACCAACAGAAUAAGCACCGGCUAACUUCGUG